Molecule: ribosomal RNA, 668 nt
Filed under: uncultured bacterium
Lineage: Bacteria
Description: bacterial SSU rRNA
Rfam family: Bacterial small subunit ribosomal RNA
Source: RNAcentral
GGUAACCUACCCUGUACACACGGAUAACAUACCGAAAGGUAUGCUAAUACGGGAUAAUAUAUUUGAGAGGCAUCUCUUAAAUAUCAAAGGUGAGCCAGUACAGGAUGGACCCGCGUCUGAUUAGCUAGUUGGUAAGGUAACGGCUUACCAAGGCAACGAUCAGUAGCCGACCUGAGAGGGUGAUCGGCCACAUUGGAACUGAGACACGGUCCAAACUCCUACGGGAGGCAGCAGUGGGGAAUAUUGCACAAUGGGCGAAAGCCUGAUGCAGCAACGCCGCGUGAGUGAUGAAGGCCUUCGGGUCGUAAAACUCUGUCCUCAAGGAAGAUAAUGACGGUACUUGAGGAGGAAGCCCCGGCUAACUACGUGCCAGCAGCCGCGGUAAUACGUAGGGGGCUAGCGUUAUCCGGAUUUACUGGGCGUAAAGGGUGCGUAGGCGGUCUUUCAAGUCAGGAGUGAAAGGCUACGGCUCAACCGUAGUAAGCUCUUGAAACUGGGAGACUUGAGUGCAGGAGAGGAGAGUGGAAUUCCUAGUGUAGCGGUGAAAUGCGUAGAUAUUAGGAGGAACACCAGUUGCGAAGGCGGCUCUCUGGACUGUAACUGACGCUGAGGCACGAAAGCGUGGGGAGCAAACAGGGUUAGAUACCCUGGUAGUCCACGCUGUAAAC